RNAcentral lists this ribosomal RNA (497 nucleotides) under uncultured bacterium. RNAcentral describes it as "partial 16S ribosomal RNA". It matches the Rfam family "Bacterial small subunit ribosomal RNA", at positions 28 to 507 of the family's 1533-position model. The record is from RNAcentral.
GAUGAACGCUGGCGGCGUGCCUAAUACAUGCAAGUCGAGCGAACGGACGAGAAGCUUGCUUUUCUGAUGUUAGCGGCGGACGGGUGAGUAACACGUGGAUAACCUACCUAUAAGACUGGGAUAACUUCGGGAAACCGGAGCUAAUACCGGAUAAUAUUUUGAACCGCAUGGUUCAAAAGUGAAAGACGGUCCUGCUGUCACUUAUAGAUGGAUCCGCGCUGCAUUAGCUAGUUGGUAAGGUAACGGCUUACCAAGGCAACGAUGCAUAGCCGACCUGAGAGGGUGAUCGGCCACACUGGAACUGAGACACGGUCCAGACUCCUACGGGAGGCAGCAGUAGGGAAUCUUCCGCAAUGGGCGAAAGCCUGACGGAGCAACGCCGCGUGAGUGAUGAAGGUCUUCGGAUCGUAAAACUCUGUUAUUAGGGAAGAACAUAUGUGUAAGUAACUGUGCACACCUUGACGGUACCUAAUCAGAAAGCCACGGCUAACUACGUG